AGAGUUUGAUCCUGGCUCAGAUUGAACGCUGGCGGCAGGCCUAACACAUGCAAGUCGAACGGUAACAGGAAACAGCUUGCUGUUUCGCUGACGAGUGGCGGACGGGUGAGUAAUGUCUGGGAAACUGCCUGAUGGAGGGGGAUAACUACUGGAAACGGUAGCUAAUACCGCAUAACGUCGCAAGACCAAAGAGGGGGACCUUAGGGCCUCUUGCCAUCGGAUGUGCCCAGAUGGGAUUAGCUAGUAGGUGGGGUAACGGCUCACCUAGGCGACGAUCCCUAGCUGGUCUGAGAGGAUGACCAGCCACACUGGAACUGAGACACGGUCCAGACUCCUACGGGAGGCAGCAGUGGGGAAUAUUGCACAAUGGGCGCAAGCCUGAUGCAGUCAUGCCGCGUGUAUGAAGAAGGCCUUCGGGUUGUAAACCUCUUUCAGCCCUGACGAAGCCCUCUUGGGGGUGACGGUAGGGGUAGAAGAAGCACCGGCCAACUACGUGCCAGCAGCCGCGGUAAU
Molecule: ribosomal RNA, 513 nt
Filed under: uncultured Gammaproteobacteria bacterium
Lineage: Bacteria; Pseudomonadati; Pseudomonadota; Gammaproteobacteria
Also listed under: 1 other name
Description: bacterial SSU rRNA
Rfam family: Bacterial small subunit ribosomal RNA
Source: RNAcentral